Ruditapes philippinarum (Manila clam) is the source of this 1518-nucleotide long non-coding RNA. RefSeq lists it as uncharacterized. Lineage: Eukaryota; Metazoa; Mollusca; Bivalvia; Venerida; Veneridae. The transcript is spliced from 3 exons. The record is from RefSeq and is a predicted model, not a curated record.
GUUAUAACCAACUGUUGUUAAGCAUUCAUUUUCCGCGCUUUGUAAAAACGUAAUGAUUGACUUAGAAAUAAAAAUUAACUGUUGGUAUAUAUACAAACCAUUGGAAAAUAUGCAAAAGAAAGAACCACGCUCUGACCACACGAUAAAGGAAAUCUUCAGCAGAAAACAGUUAUUUUGUAUGUGCCAUGGAAACAGCCAAAAUGACACAUCUAGGAAUAACAGCCCUUAUGUUUGCUGAGUUUGACAGUUUGUACAAUCAAAGGUGAUGAGAACUGUAGCCCAGGGGACAAACAAUUUAAAAUUCUUCCAUGUCCACAUGGCUUUAGAGAUGAUGGUUUAAGCUGUUGGAAAGAUUCUUACGGCAGAGGUGUUGGCCGAAUUCCCAACAAAUCACCUUGCCAGCAAGGCCAACGUGAUGACGGAACAAGCUGUUGGAUUGAUUCCUACGGAAGAGGGGUUGGUCGCGCUGCCGACAAAGCUCGGUGCCCACAUGGUCUUAGAGAUGAUGGCACCAGUUGUUGGAGUGAUGCACGUAUAUAUGGAAAAGGAUGAUGUUGUACAUUGUGGGGAUGUUGUAACAGAUGUCCAAGCGGUUAUAAAGACGAUGGUUGCACAUGCAGAAAGGUCAAUGUAGGCAUAAAGAGGACCCUAUUCCAGAGACUAGGCUGUAAAGGCACAGAGGACAAAUACGGGUCUCGCUGCUACCCUAAAUGUAAACAUGGCUAUAGACCUAUUGGAUGUUGCAUUUGUGAACCUAGAGGGGGCCCGAGAGUAAUUGAAACCUUGAAAUCUCGACAAACCUGCAGAAUGCACGAAAAUAUGUACGGCGGACUGUGCUACCCAAAAUGUCGAGACGGGUACAAGCCUGUUGGAUGUUGCAUGUGUGAACCAAAGGGAGGUCCAGGAAUCAAAAUAAGCUAUAUUGAACGACUCCAUACAUGUUUAUUAUCUCAAGGUGUCGAUAAAAUAAGAAAUGCAAUGAAAGGGAUGUCUCAAGAUAUGAUUGAUAAACUCAAUGAAAUGAUUACAAAUCUAAAAAAACAAAACAAGCUUACUUAGGCCAAACUAAAUUUAAUAUCACCUGCUUUUUAAUAUAACAGUUUAUAAGUUAUAGAAAGAACAUCGAAACACGAGAAUAUCUGAUUUGUACGAGGGGCGAUGUUAUUUCUCUUUUUUAUCAUAGUCCAAUAUAAAAACAUAUUCUCUGUCGUCACAAUAUGAAUGUCAAGAAGAAUGUAACCAAUGAACGAGCAUCUGAAUAUAAUAUUUCUGUCGCUUUCCUUUCUCUGCCGUCACCAUAAGUAAACCUCAGCAAAAAUGAUCCAAACAAUGGACAUGAUCUGGAGUGCGAGUUAAUUAUACCUUCACUCAAGUUAACGCACUGUGCAUGUAUAUGUAUACGAUAUAAAGUCCCCAAACUAUGAUACAAUUAUAUUUUAACAUUAAAUCGGAACCGUGUACUUUUCUUUUUUCUGCGAGCCUCUCUUAUUCAGUAAUUAAAAAGCAAACACUUUUCAU